AAUGCAGGUUGUUCUAUCGCUGUUCCAAUUUAGUUGGGAGAGAGGAAAGUCCGGGCAACGUAGGGCAUCUCGCUUUCUAACGGAAAGGAAUUUAGGAUUGAAAACCUGAAUUACGGAAAGUGCAACAGAAAAUAUACCGUCUUGAUUUAUCGAGAUAAGGGUGAAAACGUGCGGUAAGAGCGCCCGACAAUUGUAGGCGACUGCAGUUGAUUGUAAACCCCGAGAGUUGAAAGACCAAAUAGGCUAACAUCCUAGUUUUAAUUAGGAUAAAGGGCUGCCCGUCCGAUGUUAGUGGGUAGGUCGUUAGAGAUAGACGGCAACGUUUAUAGUGGAUUAAUGAUAGAAAUUCUAAGCAAUUAGAAAACAGAACCCGGCUUAUAGACCUGCAUUUUUU
This 394-nucleotide RNase P RNA is filed under the name Pedobacter changchengzhani. Its description in RNAcentral is "Bacterial RNase P class A". It matches the Rfam family "Bacterial RNase P class A". Rfam says of the family: Ribonuclease P (RNase P) is a ubiquitous endoribonuclease, found in archaea, bacteria and eukarya as well as chloroplasts and mitochondria. Lineage: Bacteria; Pseudomonadati; Bacteroidota; Sphingobacteriia; Sphingobacteriales; Sphingobacteriaceae. The record is from Rfam by way of RNAcentral.